Long non-coding RNA from Populus trichocarpa (black cottonwood), 1297 nucleotides. RefSeq lists it as uncharacterized. The transcript is spliced from 2 exons. Lineage: Eukaryota; Viridiplantae; Streptophyta; Magnoliopsida; Malpighiales; Salicaceae. The record is from RefSeq and is a predicted model, not a curated record.
UUUUAAGGUUGACUUGGGCCUUUCUCUUAUAUUGACCAAAAUAAUCUGCCCAUCUCUUAUGGUGUUUUAUAGCAUGAAAAUUCCUUAUGGCAUCAUUUCACAUGUUAAUUUAGAUUUCCAAGACAUAAGCAAAUCAAUUUGGUCUCACUUCCUUGGUAUGUUGUCUGUGUUUCUUUAACUUCACUUACAAUUUGGUAUGUCAAGUGUUUUCUCAAUAUAUUAUAUAUUUUUAAAUAGAAAUGAGCAUCAUGUAAUCAGUUCAUGCUUCAGUUUAAGGUCAUGAUUUAUAUUUAUUUCUAGAAUAGCCAAAUAAAUGUUUAAGUUUCUUACAUAUAUCAACCAAGCAUUAAUUGAAAAGGAAGUAGCUAAAAAUUAAAGCAUCAUAUCUGAAUUUAGAAGUCAUGGCGGGUGAAACCACAGAAGAAAAAACGAGAGAGGAAAAACAGAGGUGGGGGAUGAAAGGAAAGAAGUGUCUCAAACUCAAAAUGAAGAAGUGAUAGAGAAUUAUCAAUAAGAUGUUGGGUCUUGGGAUCCCUGUCUCUUCACUCAGAUCUCUUGAGUUUAGGAUUCCCCUCAAUAGUGCUUCGGUUAUUUGUUGCUGGAUUUUUUUUCAAUUUUUUUUUUUGGUGACAAAAGAUGGAAGAGGUUAUUUUCUUUCUUGUUACAUAUCUCCUCCCUUUUGCUUUCCUGUUGUGAUUGUGCUGUGCAGGUGUUGUUGUCUCGGGUCUUUCCUCUACCAGCCAUUGUUUCUUGGGUCUCUAAACUGGCAAGCUCUCAUUGUUUUUAUUUGUUGUGAUGAAAUCUGUAAUGGAAGAUUUUUCAAUUUCCAAAGCAAUUCUGAUCAAAAGUGCAAUAAAGGGAUAAAAAUGAAGGUUUAGUUAGUGCCUUGAUCCGUGCUCUAUUUGGUAUCCGAUAGUGAUUUACGUACGUUCCAGAUGCAUCCUAUGACUUGCCUUUGGUAUCCAAAAGAGCCAUUCGGCUUCAAAGACAAGGGAAAGCCAGCGAUUUAGCUGCCAAUUUGCAACUUUUCAUCGUCCAGAACAAUUCACAGGCAACGUGUUUCUAGGCCUACAAAAAUCGCGAAGCAAGCCUUCAUGACAGCUGAUUGUUUAUGUCUAGGAACUAUGGAUGGCAACUUCUUUUGGAUUUGGGGUUCUUUCUCCCUAAUCUUGAUUGCAUAUUGUCUACAAGAUUAAUCAAUACAGUAAAACAAAGAGUGACGGGCAUUGUUAUUUCCAGGAUUGCCAUUGACAGGCCUAGGAAAAAAGAAGGUGUUCAUGUUUAUUUGUGAUUGUAG